Molecule: ribosomal RNA, 497 nt
Filed under: uncultured bacterium
Lineage: Bacteria
Description: partial 16S ribosomal RNA
Rfam family: Bacterial small subunit ribosomal RNA
Source: RNAcentral
GAUGAACGCUGGCGGCGUGCCUAAUACAUGCAAGUCGAGCGAACGGACGAGAAGCUUGCUUCUCUGAUGUUAGCGGCGGACGGGUGAGUAACACGUGGAUAACCUACCUAUAAGACUGGGAUAACUUCGGGAGACCGGAGCUAAUACCGGAUAAUAUUUUGAACCGCAUGGUUCAAAAGUGAAAGACGGUCCUGCUGUCACUUAUAGAUGGAUCCGCGCUGCAUUAGCUAGUUGGUAAGGUAACGGCUUACCAAGGCAACGAUGCAUAGCCGACCUGAGAGGGUGAUCGGCCACACUGGAACUGAGACACGGUCCAGACUCCUACGGGAGGCAGCAGUAGGGAAUCUUCCGCAAUGGGCGAAAGCCUGACGGAGCAACGCCGCGUGAGUGAUGAAGGUCUUCGGAUCGUAAAACUCUGUUAUUAGGGAAGAACAUAUGUGUAAGUAACUGUGCACAUCUUGACGGUACCUAAUCAGAAAGCCACGGCUAACUACGUG